CAUCUUGGAGCCAUCUGGGCACAGCCACGACUGUGGCUCUGGUCCUGCCAGGGUGUAGCCUUUGAAGAUGCUUCAAUGAAUUUCUAUUUUACUCCCCCUUAACUCCAUCUAGCUUCUGCUGCAGCUCCUUAAGGCAUCAAGGGAACAGACUGGAACCUGUCUGUGUGUCCUGCAGUAGGUGGGUUCUGACCGUCCCUCCAGGAGGAACUGGGAAGGCUCAGAGCAGGAAUUCAGGAGUCAAGGCUGAUGUUUGUGGUGCAUGAAUACCCACAGAGUUGGAAUGAGCUGCAUUCAGCAAGAUAGCCAACAGUUUUCAGCCUUGUUCUAUGACAGUCAGCCCUCCCUUGGCUUUCAAGGAGCCUGUGCCUGUGUCCCAGCAGUGUGUGGGCAGGGGUACAGUUUUCAGACAGUCACUGCCUGGGUGAGUGGAGAAAAUGCUGAAGCACUGAGAGAAAACCACUCCUGAAGAGCAGCAGAACUUGCCCAGAAGGAUGUUUCAUAGUGCAGCAAUUAACUGAUACACCAGGCUAUCAGGUGCCAAGGGGCUCUUUCCAUGGAAGAGGACAUCUGAAUCCAAGACAUUUAUUUUGCAUCUGAGGAGGUGCAGUGAGAGCCAGAGGUCACUCUUCUCCUGGCCAGUAAAUCUGUGAGAAAGUGGCAAUGAAAUGUUAAUUACCUCCAAAAUUAUCUGCCUCCAGUUAUUGCUAGAAAUGGCAUUGAAAACAACAAAAUGUUGAACCUCAUGCAGCCACUUCACCAAGACUUCAAGACUUUUGACACUGGUGCAAAGGCUUCCACAGCAGAUCUGCACUGCAUGGAGAAGCUUUUCCUUCUGAUGCCUGCUUGCCUAAUUCCAUGAACAGAGACCAAGAGUUUGCCAGCCUGAGUAUAUUCCAAGGUGAUGAAUACCAUGGGACAACGUGAAACUCACAGACUGGUUUGAUUUCACUAUGAACACGGGACUGGUAACUGCUGUGUAAAUGAGUCAUCUGAAGAAUUAAAAAGCAGCCCAGGAGCACAGCAGGAUUCAUGGACAGCACCAUGGUUUGGAACCAGAGCUCUGCUAUGGGCUGGUUUUUAGACCUUUACCAUGGCUCCUGAAGGACUUCUGGCAGGAUCUCCAGGAGAUGGAUGCACGUGCUGAGGUUUGCAAAGGGGUGAAGGGACAACAGAUACCUCAUGGGCAGCUGGUGCUUGCAGCCCUGUGUUUUUUUCCUUUGGAAAUACCAGAAAAAUUGAUUUCUGCUGGCUGACAAGGAGAAGCAGGGCCUCCACAUCACUGGUGUCUUUCCAGUCAAGUACCCAACUCCUCUGGGGCUUUUUAGUGCUGUAGCCUUGGAGACAACUAGAAAGAAAUCAAUUAUUGAGUCAAUGCCAAGUGGGAAAACGAGACCAAGAGCCUUCCAAGAGCACAAAAAACUGAGAUGAGACUGAAAAAAAUAAACAAGAAGAAUGGUAGUCCUACCUCACUCUGAAGUGGAGCUCACAUAAAAUAAAUGCUGGUGGGUUUGCUUUCCAAGUGGAACAUGGGAGAGAGUGAGCGAGGGAGAUUGCGAAAGAAAAAUUAUUUGUACAUUAAAUAUCUGGAGGGAGCACUUUCAGUCAUGCUGGAGACUCCAAUUUUUUCCAAAGCAUCCUGCAGCAGACUGCACAAAUGCCUAGGAAAGAGUAAAGGUGUCUUGGAUCAGACAGCACCCAAUAUGUUUAUGCAGCCCUGAUGGGAAGAGACAUGUUUAUUCAAGCUGCUUGCCAAAAUUAUAUAUGCUGGAGGCUGCUAAGGAAGGGAAAGAACUUAAUAUUUGUAACAGUGCAAUGUUAUAUAUAUGUAUAAGAAAACCCACCUAAGCAAAAUGGAUUCUAAGUAAUUUCAAGCCAGGAUUUCACAAACUGGAAAGGAACAAGGGAGAGGAAAAACAGGGUGGCGGACAGGAAAAUGUUUUGAGUUGGAUUCUUACCUCACAGGAGCUCCACAGUGAGUCAGUGUGAGCAGGAAUUGAGUGUGUUGUCCUCCACAGAGGGGACGUCACUGUCCCACCCUCCCUCCCUUCCCAACUCCACCAGUACCUCCAUCCUUGAAUGCCUGUCGGGCAAUUGGGACCCACAAACCAGCCUAGCUGAACCCCAAGUAUUUUUUCUUGGGGUGAAUUAAUUCCCUGAAUCAACAAACCAGCAAGUUUGUAGGUAUAAUGGAAAAUAAUAUCUACAUCAUUCCAUUCCUCCAAUGGAAUAAUAUCUAUAGAAUGCCAUUACUCUGAGAUUGUGGCAUCUCGUCACUAAGUUGAAAAAAUAAAUAACCAAAAACUCCAUGACCUUGGAUGCUUGAAAAAUUGCAGAGAUCCUGAAAAGCACAUUUUCUAGCCCAAGCCUACUUGCUCUAAACUUUGGAGCUGUAUCUCUUUGCUAGAUUGAGCUGGAUCUCACUAUUGAAAUGUAACUCAUAUGCAAGAGCCUCGUAUAAUCUGCCCCAAGGAAUUAUUACUGCACUUAAACCAAAUUGUUUUGCAAGCACUGGGUUUCUGUUCUGUAAUAAAUCUAAACUUUCUUUGUCUUGCUUUAUUUUGCUUCAGUGAACAACAUCCACUCAUUGUCUUUUCUUCCCGAGACGUUUGAAUAAUUAUUGUUUUCAAAGCAAGAGGUUUUGUUUGAUUAAGUAUAAAUAGUUGUAUAAAUCUGCAUACCUCAAAACACAGAAAAAGAAAGACAGGGAGAUGAGACAGCAGAAAGAAAAUUAGGAGAGACGAUUAAAGGAGAAAAAGAGAGAAAAUAGAGUCUUUCUGUUUGAGUCACUGCAGCUCUUUGACUUGCAUUUGUGAUAUUUUCAAGGAGCUUGAGAUCUUGGUUCUCAAGAAGAACUUGGAAAGACCCAGUUAUGUAGCAGAUGAUUUUGUGGACACAUAUCCUGCAUCCCUCUGUCUCCCUCACCUGUCUAGAGCCAGAGGCAAGCACAGAAGCAGGGUCCUGCAGAAUCAGCUGAGUCUGUCUUGUUUUUUAAUUAAAUGUGAGAAAUCCCUUAGCUAUUGUUUUAACAUUUAAAAAAAAUAAAUUUUUUAACAGGAGCAUUUUUACCACUUUCUUAUCAAGCCAAACAACAAAGUGGGGAGUGGGGUGAAGAAAUUUACCUCUACCUCAGCCAACACAAGGACAGGGUUUGUCCACUUUUGCUUUGCCCCUUUCCUAGAAAUUCUCUCACAGGAUUAUCCUAAAACUCUCUGCCCGUACCCCAGGGACUGGAUCGUCACCAGCCCCAUCCACCUGCAUGGGAAAGCAGCAAGCAGGAAGGAAAAGGAGGCUGUGAGUGCCAUGGAAAUGGCCAUUCAGCAGGGAUCAGCAGGGCGAAGGAGAAAGGAUUUCGAUGCAGGCUGUGUCCAGAUGUGCAGCUGCAGUGUGGGGAAUACCUUGCCUCACACAGCACAGUUUGCACUUUUAUCGUGUGGAAGCUGAAUUCUUUGGGGUUUUUCUUAGGCAAACAAUUGCUGUGCUAUUCUUGAAGCAGCACUUCCUCCCUCUGGGAAAGCCCAGGCACCUCAGCUUCCAUUCUUGUGAUCCAAAUCUUGGCUCUCCUGCUCAAGCAAUGCAUUUUUCUGAUAUUGUAGCUCAGAAAAAAUAUAAAAUGCAAUAAAAUCUUCAAAAUACUUAAUAGAGUGGAUCUUGAAGCUUUAUAGGCAAAGAUCUUGGGUGCCCUUUACCCUGUAAUUUCACUGAAAUACUUUGUAACCGAAGAAAUUUAAAAACAAAUCUAUCAAAGGAUUUAAUUUUCCAUGAUUUAAGCAUAGUUUUAAGGAACAUUUUGCACUUACUGGCUUUGUGCUUUGUGUAAAUGUACUAGGUGUUGCCAAUAUUUUUUAAUCUGUAUCUGCAUUAACUUGUAUUUACCAUCUGUUCCUUAAAUGGAACCCCUGUAAUAGGUUAUGUUUAACUUUAGAUUAAUGAAGAAAAAUGGGCCUGCAAUCACAUUUUGUUGUAAACUGUUGUCUCAGCUCUACCUUUAGUGUCAUUUACAGCAGGUGGGCAAUGACAAGGGAUUUUGUGGUGGUGCCUCAGCAAAGUGGGCCAUGGCCAGGCCCUGUGGAAGGUCACCCUCUGAGCCUCUCAGGAAUUUCUGAUGGGAAAAAUUGGUGCUAUUUCCAAUAGGAAACUUCAGUAGAAUUGGAUGUAUUGGAAUAAGGAAUAUUUGUCCUGCAAGGGACAAUUCUAUUGGUAAGUCAGUAUUUUCAGGGGAGGUGUUUAUUAAAAUUUCUCAGUUUGAAAUAGCUGUCUUGGGGAGGUUUUAGCAAAGUCAGUGUGUCAUCUGGCAACCCAAGACAUUUGUAUCAAACAGGACACCCCAAACUCACUACCUCUGAAUCUGUAGCUCCAAGUGCAGAGAUUAGAGUCCUUUGAGGACUAAAAUGUCACGUUCAAAAGGAAUAACUUGGUUUUUACAUUGUUUGGAAAUGUCUUCCGUGCCUCCUAGAGAACAUACAAACAAAAAGAGAGCAAAAACAUACAAAAGAAUAUUCCAAGAAAAUGUUGCAACGAGAAGAUAAUGACAGAGAACUUCCUCUGUUUGGAUCAGCAAAUACAAAGAAAAUCUCUACAAACAAACUUCUUUCAGUAAGGCUACGAGUGAAGUUCACAGCACAGGUCAUGAGAUCCUGGGCUGUAACUUCCAUUUUGGGGGGGAAUUACUGGAAGAAAUUGCUGCCAGCCCUGGUGGGGGCUGUGUGUGUUGUGGGGCCAGGUCUCCAGCUGGCUGUGGGGCUGACCCACACCACCCCUGAGCCUGCUGCAGAAAACAAGCUCAGCGUCCAAACUGCAGCUCUUCAGAGAUAAAUAAGAAAUAUCUGCUGGUUUUCAGGCAGCAAGGACGCUGCCAUGUGCAGGUCACCACUCCAAGCCUGACACCAGAGCAUCAGUCAGUCCACCUGGGAGCUCUUGCUUUAUGCCCACAGUGUUUUCCCCUGUGUUUAAUAUCCUCUAGUUCACUGAUUUAAUCAUGGAGCUCUGGCCAAGAUGACAUAAUUAUUACAUU
Molecule: long non-coding RNA, 5011 nt
Filed under: Taeniopygia guttata (zebra finch)
Lineage: Eukaryota; Metazoa; Chordata; Aves; Passeriformes; Estrildidae
Description: lncRNA (ENSTGUG00000025817.1)
Source: RNAcentral